CCAGCGUGUUUAAGCAGCUGGAGAUACGGCCCUGUUGGAAUAACAGC
This 47-nucleotide microRNA precursor is filed under the name Notechis scutatus (mainland tiger snake). Its description in RNAcentral is "microRNA 139 (ENSNSUG00000000418.1)". The record is from RNAcentral. Lineage: Eukaryota; Metazoa; Chordata; Lepidosauria; Squamata; Elapidae.